Molecule: ribosomal RNA, 440 nt
Filed under: uncultured bacterium
Lineage: Bacteria
Description: partial 16S ribosomal RNA
Rfam family: Bacterial small subunit ribosomal RNA
Source: RNAcentral
CCUACGGGCGGCAGCAGUGGGGGAUAUUGCACAAUGGGGGAAACCCUGAUGCAGCGACGCCGCGUGUGGGAAGACGGUCCUCUGGAUUGUAAACCACUGUCCCCAGGGAGGAAGAUGACGGUACCUGGGGAGGAAGCUCCGGCUAACUACGGGCCAGCAGCCGCGGUAAUACGUAGGGAGCGAGCGUUGUCCGGAAUUACUGGGGGAAAAGGGAGCGGAGGCGGGGGUGCAAGUUGGGUGUAAAAACUACCGGCUCAACUGGUAGCCGCACUCAAAACUGCCGCUCUUGAGUGAAGUAGAGGGAGGCGGAAUUCCUGGUGUAGCGGUGAAAUGCGUAGAUAUUAGGAGGAACACCAGGGGCGAAGGCGGCCCGCUGGGCUUUUACUGACGCUGAGGCUCGAAAGUGUGGGGAGCAAACAGGAUUAGAUACCCGAGUAGUC